This is a non-coding RNA of Parasitella parasitica, 72 nucleotides long. The record is from the annotation of a GenBank genome assembly. Lineage: Eukaryota; Fungi; Mucoromycota; Mucoromycetes; Mucorales; Mucoraceae.
GCCGGUAUAGUAUAAUGGCUAGUAUACCACGUUGUGGCCGUGAUGAUGCAGGUUCGAUUCCUGCUACCGGCA